GGCAGCUCGAGUGAUAGCCACUUUUAUUGGGCCUAAAGCGUCCGUAGCCGGCCGAACAGGUCCGUCGGGAAAUCCACUCGCUCAACGAGUGGACGUCCGGCGGAAACCAGUCGGCUUGGGGCCGGGAGACCAGAGAGGUACGUCCGGGGUAGGAGUGAAAUCCUGUAAUCCUGGACGGACCGCCGGUAGCGAAAGCGUCUCUGGAGAACGGACCCGACGGUGAGGGACGAAAGCUUGGGUCUCGAACCGGAUUAGAUACCCGGGUAGUCCAAGCCGUAAACGAUGCUCGCUAGGUGUGGCGUUGGCUACGAGCCAGCGCUGUGCCGUAGGGAAGCCGAGAAGCGAGCCGCCUGGGAAGUACGUCCGCAAGGAUGAAACUUAAAGGAAUUGGCGGGGGAGCACUACAACCGGAGGAGCCUGCGGUUUAAUUGGACUCAACGCCGGACAUCUCACCGGCACCGACAGUGUGCAGUGACAGUCAGUCUGAUGGGCUUACUUGAGCCACUGAGAGGAGGUGCAUGGCCGCCGUCAGCUCGUACCGGUGAGGCGUCCUGUUAAGUCAGGCAACGAGCGAGACCCGCGUCCCUAAUUGCCA
RNAcentral lists this ribosomal RNA (595 nucleotides) under uncultured archaeon. Its description in RNAcentral is "bacterial SSU rRNA". It matches the Rfam family "Archaeal small subunit ribosomal RNA", at positions 478 to 1069 of the family's 1478-position model. The record is from RNAcentral.